RNAcentral lists this transfer RNA (83 nucleotides) under Chrysochromulina tobinii. Its description in RNAcentral is "Chrysochromulina sp. CCMP291 tRNA". It matches the Rfam family "tRNA". From Rfam's summary of the family: Transfer RNA (tRNA) molecules are approximately 80 nucleotides in length. Their secondary structure includes four short double-helical elements and three loops (D, anti-codon, and T loops). Lineage: Eukaryota; Haptophyta; Prymnesiales; Chrysochromulinaceae. The record is from Rfam by way of RNAcentral.
GCUCAGGUGGCCGAGUGGUCUAAGGCGCAGGAUUUAGGCUCCUGUCACGUCAAGUGGCGCGGGUUCAAACCCCGUCCUGGGCA